UGCUAUCUACCAAAACUCAAAAUUCAGUAGUGCUAUUAUUUCGGCUUUUGACUUGAUUUACUAAGCCUUUGCAAUCACUCUCAAAAAUCACUACCGAGAAUGGUAAUUGUUCCACCCACUUCAUAGCUUUAAACAUGGCUAAAGUCUCUUUUUCUUGUACCUCCAUUACAACAUCAAUCCACCCUGUACAAAAUUGCCUUCUCCAUCUCGAAGCACACAACCAAAACCUGAUUUGCCACUAUCAUUAAAGAAUGCAACAUCAGUAUUGCAUUUCAACUUGCCUUGAGGUGGUUUCUGCCAAUCUAAAUCAGUAGGGGGGAACUAGGCAAUUGUACCUGGUAUUUUCUGCACUGAAGCUCUUCAAACACUUAAACACCAUCUCUGAAAACGAUUCUACAUUAUUCAGCAAUGGCUCAAUCCAAGACCAUAAUCCAAUCUUUUCCCACAUAACAAUACUAUUAUGACAAGUAAUGAAAUAAUGAAAAGAAUUCUCCAAUUCAAUGCUAUAGAAAAGGCAAAUUGCUGGACAAUGAAUACCUCUCGUUUGGAGUUGAAUCCGUGUAGGGAGACAUUCUCUGCAUACGCGCCAGAUAAGAGAGUCUUGACCUUAUGAGGAACUUCCAAC
RNAcentral lists this long non-coding RNA (625 nucleotides) under Glycine max (soybean). RNAcentral describes it as "long non-coding RNA (GMAX_LNC002575)". The record is from RNAcentral. Lineage: Eukaryota; Viridiplantae; Streptophyta; Magnoliopsida; Fabales; Fabaceae.